RNAcentral lists this ribosomal RNA (253 nucleotides) under uncultured bacterium. RNAcentral's name for it is "partial 16S ribosomal RNA". It matches the Rfam family "Bacterial small subunit ribosomal RNA", at positions 524 to 776 of the family's 1533-position model. The record is from RNAcentral.
GACGUAGGAGGCGAGCGUUGUCCGGAUUCAUUGGGCGGAAAGAGCUCGUAGGCGGUUUGUCGCGUCUGCCGUGAAAGUCCGGGGCUCAACUCCGGAUCUGCGGUGGGUACGGGCAGACUAGAGUGAUGUAGGGGAGACUGGAAUUCCUGGUGUAGCGGUGAAAUGCGCAGAUAUCAGGAGGAACACCGAUGGCGAAGGCAGGUCUCUGGGCAUUAACUGACGCUGAGGGGCGAAAGCAUGGGGAGCGAACAGG